Molecule: long non-coding RNA, 1445 nt
Organism: Manis pentadactyla (Chinese pangolin)
Lineage: Eukaryota; Metazoa; Chordata; Mammalia; Pholidota; Manidae
Exons: 5
Source: RefSeq, a predicted model, not a curated record
GAGACGCCGCCCUCGCGGUCAGUGCCACCACCACCACGCCGCCGGCCAGGGGAGGGAGGGGAGCCUUCGGGAGCCGCGCUGGUCCUGCAGAGGCAGGGUCUGAGGCCGGACGCUGCCCCGGAGUGCAGGUGCACCCAGGCACUCAUGCCGCCGGUCCCUCCAGGCACCUCCUCGACCCCAGGCAAGUUGGAAGCCUGGGUGAGGAAAUGGAAUUGGGGCAGAAGCAGGCGGCACAGCAACUGAGAGGGAGUCGUUGCUGAGCGGGAGAGACUCGCUGUGUGGCUGCAGGAGCAUUCCCCAACCUCUUGGGGCCUUGGCUUCCCUGGGACACGGAGCAGAUAAGGAGUGGGCAAAGGACUCAGGCACCCUGGGAACCAGACAAGAAUCCAUCUGAGCGGGAGCCAUGGGCACGCCUGCUAUUUUAAGCUUCUGAAGAACAACAACAACACAAAUUUGUCACUGAGCCAAAGCAAGAGGCCCCCAAGUCGCCCAGGAGGAGCCCCGAGGCGACUGCCACCAUCAAUUGUGCCUGACAAUUCCAUCUUGCUGGGUGCCUGCUGCAGUCAGAAAGCACAUGGUGCUGGGAGGUCAGAGGCCAGAGGCCAGAGAUCAAGCUGGGCAGAGGCUCCAGGAACCAGGAUCAGGGAUGACACGGUUAGCACCUGGAGAGACCCUGGUGGACGGUGGAGGAGGGAGUCCAGAGAAUGCAGGAGGUGACUCUGGGAGUUCCCCGCCUGACCACUGGGUCCAGACUGGCCUGGGGAGCCUGAUCAGACACCAGGGGCAUCUUUUCAGAAGUUCUCCCCAUUGUCUAACCUGAACCUUCCCACCAAAGCAGGGUCUGAGAAGGUGGGACACAGGCUGGAAGGCAGGGGAGCGAUAACCAUUCUUCCCUUCCACCUGUAAGACUCAAAGACUCCAGCCUUCUUUUCUCAGGUAAACCCACCCAUCCACCUGGAGCGACAAGGUUUCAGCGCAGCCCCAGGCUCCUGAACUCGAAUCUUCUCUGAUGCUGUGGCAAACGCGGGCCAGCUAUGAACGAUACCCCUCCUGAAUAAUCCCCAUGCUGGAAACAGUCUAUUCCUCAUUGAAUUCUCAGAGACACCUUGUGGGGUCGCUCUCUCCCAUUUUACAGGACCACCAGCCAGCCAGGGCUUGGACACCUCCAGGAACAGAGAACUCAUCACCUCCAAGGCAUCAGUCAUCUUGUGGGGCUCUUCCUUCCUCAGGAUGAGCCAAGGUCUGCAGCCUUCCCUUCAGAGCAGGGUGGAGGCUCCUGAACCCCAAUCUUCUCUCCAGAGCCCAGCAUCACAGGUCUUCCCUUCUGUGGCCCAGUUUCAGCCCCCAGCCACCUGCCCUGCUCUCUGUUGGGUGAGCCCCAUGUUGUCACCACCCCUCUUGGUGGCCUUCAAAACUGCUCCAAUCAUUCACAUGAGGUCUGAGCA